CAGCCAGCUGAAGUAUUCAUGACGUCUUUCUUUGAUUCCUCUCCGGAACAGAAUCGAGUAUUGUUCCCACCAGCUCGCUCCCCAUUGCCUUUUCGAAUAUGUUACCUUCGAUUUCAGCUCUUCGUCGAGCGUCAGAGUUGUAGAAUCCAAGCCCGAGGUCGGUUCGUCAAGAAACAGCAGUGACGGAUUGAUUAGAAUCUCAUUGCCUAUAGAGACUCGACGCCUUUCUCCACCUGAAACUCCACGGACAAAGGAGCCACCAAUCAUUGUAUCCUGGCACCUGCAGAGGCUAUAUCGGUGAGCGCCUAAUCUAGAAGGAUGUAUAUCUUAUGCUUCCAUUAGAAAAAGCUGCAAAUCCUUACCUUUCAAGGCCCAGCUCAUAUAUGACAUCGACCGCACGCUUUUCCUUCUGCUCUUUUGUCAAUGUUUUUGGCAGUCGAAGCAAAGCUGCAUAUCUCAAUGUUUCUUUCACCGUCAAGUGGGGAAACAGAACGUCCUCCUGCAUCACGAAUCCUACCCUGAACUUAUUGUAUGGCUGAUCAUUGUACGUAAUCGAACCACCAACUGUAGACCGUAUGAGCCGUCCUCCAAGCAGAUUGAGCAAUGUUGUCUUGCCACUUCCUGAAGGUCCCAUUAAGGCCAGAACUUCACCAGGGUUUACUAAACCGGUAAUACCAUUCAAAAUCUCCUUCUCCACAUUUGUCCGCAAUCCUUUUAUGAUUACUUUAUAAGUAACAUCCGUGAACUGCAAAAUAUUUGAUCCAGACAAUAGGAUGAGUUCAGUAAAAGUUAGAGAUGGCUAUGUUUUCCUAAAGAAAUGGAAGUAGGUCCGUAAGCGUUGAUUAGCUUCUUCGAGUCUUAAACAACCUGAUUCUUUUGACGAGCAUGAACUAAAUAUUUAAAAAAAUGGGCUAAUCUAAGAUUACAAGAGGACAAUUAUCCUUUUGAAGUUUUUUAGUUAUGUUUCUGCUGCUUUUUAUGUUCUCUAAGUUAGGUGGAAAGAUGGGAUGAGUCUUGUACAUGAAUUAUCAUAUAAAAUGAAACCUCGUACAAGACUGAACCUGACCAUGCUAUAAUUUGCAUGCUAGCUUAGCCAUGUUCUAUGGGGGUUGUGCUUUUAUCUCUACAUCAAUCUUCCUGUCUUUUGCCUGUCCAAAUAGAUAGACAUAAGUUCAUUUGCUAUCAACAAAACAAACACAUACAAUUCUGAAAACAUUCUUUGUUUUUUUGUCUUUUUGUUGUUUUUUUUUUAUUAUCAAAGAUUUAGGUGGCCAUGUUUUGUGGGAGAAAUCACUGUAUUUCAAUGAUGAAAGAACACUUUAUUUACCUUGAGCUGAAUGGGCAUGGUUGGUUCUGUUUGAAAUUUGGUCUUGCCUGUUCCUGCUUCUACAUCCUCUGCUGUUAUAUUAUAUGCAUAUAGAUGUUAAACGGUUGAAUUGGGAUUUUACCCCAAGCUACUUGAUUGAUUCUUGAAAAUAUACUGAUAACUUGCAAAAUACGAAAAUUCAAACGAACACCCCCAUGUAGUUUGAUGAACUCGGACCUCUCCCUUCCGAGUUAACUCGAGCUUGAUUCACUCUAUUUAUAACCAAUUCCUUAAUUAGUGACUAACAUACACUUAGUGCCUUAAUGACAUUUUUUGGUAGCUAAUAAUGGACUGAAAGCAGUCGGGAAGAGUAAAAAAUGUCAACUAGAUAUACAGGGCAGGAGUCAAAGGUAGGUAGGGAAUUUGAGCCUAUAAAUAUGAAAUUGAAGUCUUCAAGGACUUGACUUUUCCAUUAAAUAACACAAAACAUAUCUAAAUUUGUGGGCCAUGGGUCACUCUGCUAGUUUGAUUCCAAGUUCCUACUAAUAGCCUUUUCUUUUUCAAGUUUUCGUGAGAUCUCACGUCGGUUGGAGAGGGGAACGAAAUAUUCUUUAUAAGGGUGUGAAAGCCUCUACCUAGCUGAAACGUUUUAAAAACCUUGAGGGGGAAACCCAAAGAGGACAAGAGGUAGUUUUGGACUGUUAUAAAUUGUAUCAAAGCCAGACACUGGGCGAUGUGCCAGCGAGGACACUUAACCCCAAAGGGGUGGACACCGAGCGGUGUGUCAGCGAGGACGCUGGACCCUGAAUGAGGAUGAAUUAUGAGAUCCCACAUCGAGGAAAACGAAACAUUUUUUAUAAGGGUGUGGAAAACGUACAGGGAAAAACUCCAAAUUUGUACUUACAGUACUUGAAUUCGGAGGCGGGUUAUUAACAAUAGAGCCAAAAUAUAAAACAAUAGUAAUUUAUUUUAUUCUGAGUUUAAGUAUUAUGAACAUAAAUUGGUAUGACUAGAGAGAGAGAGAGAGAGGCAGAAGGUCAGACAGACAACCACAAGAUUUGAGAGCUUUUAUUGCUACAACCAUUUUUAGUUUUGCCAUUGUAAGGGAAACCAUGACACUUUCUCUUUAUCAAACAAAAAGGGGACCAGAAAAAAAUGAGUAUAGGUUUCUAGCGAACUCUUCCGAAUGACUCAUACCCGAACGCUCUCUCAUCUUCAACUCUUUCUGCCUUAACUCAACACAUUGUGUGGACCAUAUCAAAAAAGUUGGACGAAAACACGAACAUGACAAGAAAGUAGAUGACGAUGAACACGACGACGACGAAAAAUCUUCAAAAUUAGCAAAACAUAAAUUAAGAACGACUUACGUAUAUCUUCAUCACUGAAUGGCUUAAAAUCUGCAAUUUCAUCAGGUGGCAAAGUGAAGCCAUUGAAGGAGAAUGACAAACCCAAGCUAGCACUUGAAGCUCUACUCAAAGCUGCACCACUGCCCAAAUCAUCCAAAUCCAGCUUCAGCUGUGCACUCCUGGACUUCCUGAUGUGUGUAUUUCGAGCACCGCUGCCACUGCCACGCCCUGGUGAAGGAGCUGUCAACGUCUGCCUACUCGACUUCCUCGAGAGGGUUGUGCUGCCACUCUCCCCCACCACCCCACCGUUCACCUCGCUGCUCGACGUCGGAGACUUGAAUGCUGCUGCCACCUUCUCCAAAAGUUGAUCGGAUUUCGUCCUCGCUAGAGCUAAUGAACUCGUUGUCUUCUCCAUGUCGCCUCCAACCUUCUUUCUUCCUAGUGGUGACAUAAAAACAUUGGUUUGACAUUCAUAAUUGUGGAAGAAGAUUCAUUUAGUUCAUAUUGACCAUACCUUUUUUGUGAUGUUGAAGGAGAGUGGAGAUUCAGAAGUGAAGAACUUAUAGAGAGAGAAAGAGUUGGCUCAAUCUAUUGCACCUUCAAUGGUA
Molecule: long non-coding RNA, 3260 nt
Organism: Cucurbita moschata (crookneck pumpkin)
Lineage: Eukaryota; Viridiplantae; Streptophyta; Magnoliopsida; Cucurbitales; Cucurbitaceae
Exons: 3
Source: RefSeq, a predicted model, not a curated record